Molecule: ribosomal RNA, 537 nt
Filed under: Sugiyamaella sp. BG090802.1.7.2.1.10
Lineage: Eukaryota; Fungi; Ascomycota; Dipodascomycetes; Dipodascales; Trichomonascaceae
Description: eukaryotic LSU rRNA
Rfam family: Eukaryotic large subunit ribosomal RNA
Source: RNAcentral
CUUAGUAACGGCGAGUGAAGCGGCAAAUUGCUCAAAUUUGAAAUCUGGCCUAGCCCGAAUUGUAAUUUGAAGAGGUUAUGUUUUGGUUGAUUGGGCUGAAUAAGUUUGUUGGAAUACAACGUCUUAGAGGGUGAGAAUCCCGUAAUUCAGCCCAGGCUACCUUGUAAACUGGCCUCGAAGAGUCGAGUUGUUUGGGAAUGCAGCUCUAAUUGGGUGGUAAAUUCCAUCUAAAGCUAAAUAUUGACGAGAGACCGAUAGCGAACAAGUACAGUGAUGGAAAGAUGAAAAGAACUUUGAAAAGAGAGUGAAAAAGUACGUGAAAUUGUUGAAAGGGAAGGGUUUUAGGGGAGACUUGGGCUCUAACGAUCAAUCAGGCUUAGGCCUGGUGUACGCGUUAGUUUCUGGGCCAGUAUGGGUUUAAAUAGUGGGAUAAAAGAUUAAUAAUGUGGCUACUCCGGUAGUGUUAUAGAUUAUUCUAAUACCACUCAUUUAGACCAAGGAAUGAGAAUUCUAGGAUACUGGCGUAAUCCCCUUAAA